This 1072-nucleotide long non-coding RNA is filed under the name Salmo salar (Atlantic salmon). RNAcentral's name for it is "lncRNA (ENSSSAG00000091563.1, ENSSSAG00000093378.1)". Lineage: Eukaryota; Metazoa; Chordata; Actinopteri; Salmoniformes; Salmonidae. The record is from RNAcentral.
CCUCUAGUCUGGGUACCAGUCUGUUUAGAUAACAUUCCUCUAGUCUGGGUACCAGUCCUCUGUCUGGGUACCAGUCCUCUAGUCUGGGUACCAGUCCUCUAGUCUGGGUACCAGUCUGUUUAGAUAACAUUCCUCUAGUCUGGGUACCAGUCCUCUGUCUGGGUACCAGUCCUCUAGUCUGGGUACCAGUCCUCUAGUCUGGGUACCAGUCCUCUAGUCUGGGUACCAUCCUCUAGUCUGGGUACCAGUCCUCUAGUCUGGGUACCAGUCCUCUAGUCUGGGUACCAGUCUGUUUAUUUAUUUUUUGUUGUCUUCUGCCAAAGACUUUGGAAAAGGAAAUGUGUGACAGUGUUGUUAGGUGUCACGGUCUGUUAACUUCAGCACGAAUAAAUAAAAACAGCGUUGAAUUAAUGUCUGAUAAGUGUUGGUACAAUGUGACAUCAGUGGUAGGAACAGUGGUGGGAACAGUGGAACAGGGGUGGGAACAAACAGUGGAACAGUGGUGGGAACAGUGGAACAGUGGUGGGAACAGUGGUGGGAACAGUGGAACAGUGGUGGGAACAGUGGAACAGUGGUGAGAACAGUGGAACAGUGGUGGGAACAGUGGAACAGUGGUGGGAACAGUGGAACAGUGGUGGGAACAGUGGUGGGAACAGUGGAACAGUGGUGGGAACAGUGGAACAGUGUGUCAUACAACAUUUUCAAAAGAACUCUUACAACAACAAAAAAGAUGGCAGUAUUUGAAACUGCAGUAUUUGCAGUCGACUGUCGUAUUUUGGAAGCAGUAAUUGCUGCACUCUAAGUGCAGUUACUGCAGUAAAACAAAGUGUUCUUUUGGACGCUGGCUGUCACGUUCGUCGUAAAGAUGGGACCAAGGCGCAGUGGGAAUGUGAAUACCCAUCUUCUUUAUUUUGAAGAAAACCAAAAUAAACAAAGUUGGCUCAGGUCUACUGCCUGCCCUAGCCAAUCUUCCCGUGUGCCCCCCCCCCAAAAAAAUAUGUAUUGGGGGUGCCUCUCGGGUUUCCUUGCCAGCCGUGUCCCAGCAUAGCAUUUUCUCCAAUAUCCUGCUGCC